Molecule: long non-coding RNA, 747 nt
Filed under: Equus asinus (donkey)
Lineage: Eukaryota; Metazoa; Chordata; Mammalia; Perissodactyla; Equidae
Description: lncRNA (ENSEASG00005024510.1)
Source: RNAcentral
CAGGUCCUCAGCAGCAGAAGAUGAGGCGGGGGCAGGCAGCACCUGAUCGAGGUGCAGACACAGAGCUUGCUUCUGACCUGUCAGUCUGCUGGAGUGGAGUGUAACUCUCUCCCCUCCCUCUGCUUUGCUUUCCUGACUCUACAGAAAAGAGAGACCUUGACUUGCCGUCAGAGGACCUGGCUCUCUUGGGGUCUCCACGAAGAACUCAUCCUGGCUGCAAACAGUUCUCUCCUCGACUCUCUCCUACGAAAGGAGCAUUCUGGGCCCCAAGUACUCUGCGGUGUUUUCUCCUUGGAGGACAGAGUGGCAGAAGGUCUCUUUCCUGUUAGUCCCCAAAGGUGGAGAGAAGGAUGUCAGAGCUUGGAAGAGGGUGCAGGAUGCCACUCCCGACCUCACUUCCCUGCCUCCUGUGCCCAGGCAAGCUCCAAGCUGGAAAGGACCUGCUAGCCUGGUGGCAUGCGAUGGCCUUGGUUCUGUGAUGCUUGGGUGAGAAGAAUAGCUCACUGAUAGUCUUCCAGUAACUGCAUCAUUCAGCCAUUCAACAAACACUCUUCAGCACUGGUCUAGAGACCCUGAAUCCUAUUCUGCCUGGACCGCUCACUUGUUGUGCAUCUCUAGAAGAGCUGUUGCCUUUUCUGGGCAAUUUCAUCAGAAUAAGAUAGAAAUCCAAGGUACUGUGGUGCACAUCUCUCCCAGUGCCCUCUGAGGGCCCGUGCUGUAAGGAGAGCCGAGGACACACCUCGCUUU